This 306-nucleotide ribosomal RNA is filed under the name Triticum aestivum (bread wheat). Its description in RNAcentral is "partial small subunit ribosomal RNA". The record is from RNAcentral. Lineage: Eukaryota; Viridiplantae; Streptophyta; Magnoliopsida; Poales; Poaceae.
AUGUCGUCCUCAAGCGCCGCCAACUCCACCCUCUCUGGCCAGAUCACAGAGCGUCUCACCCGAACCAACUACGUCUUAUGGCGUACCCAAAUCACGCCACGGCUUCGGGGGGCAGGGUUCUUCGGCUACGUGGACGGCAGCAUGCCGGAGCCGGCCAAGGUCGUCGUCAGCAAGGAUAAGGAUGGCAAGGAGGAGACCAUCCCCAACCCGCUUCACUCGGUUUGGAUCAGGGAGGAUCAACAGGUGCUUGGUUACCUUCUGAAUAACCUCUCCAAAGAAGUGCUUGUGCAGGUGACCUCGAUCGCC